GACGAACGCUGGCGGCGUGCCUAACACAUGCAAGUCGAGCGGAGAUACAUUGAAGAGCAAUCAGAUAUGUAUCUUAGCGGCGGACGGGUGAGUAACGCGUGGGCAACCUGCCUCAUACUGGGGGAUAACACAGGGAAACUUGUGCUAAUACCGCAUAAUAUCAUUAUAGGGCAUCCUGUGAUGAUCAAAGGAGCGAUCCGGUGUGAGAUGGGCCCGCGUCCAAUUAGCUAGUUGGUGGGGUAACGGCCCACCAAGGCGACGAUUGGUAGCCGAACUGAGAGGUUGAUCGGCCACAUUGGGACUGAGACACGGCCCAGACUCCUACGGGAGCAGCAGUGGGGAAUAUUGCGCAAUGGGGGAAACCCGUGACGCAGCAACGCCGCGUGAAGGAUGAAAGGUCUUCGGAUUGUAAAACUUACUUUGAUGAGGACGAACACAAUAGACGGUACCUCAAAAACAAAGACCACGGCCUAACUAACGUAGCACGCAGACCG
RNAcentral lists this ribosomal RNA (494 nucleotides) under uncultured bacterium. RNAcentral's name for it is "bacterial SSU rRNA". It matches the Rfam family "Bacterial small subunit ribosomal RNA", at positions 28 to 518 of the family's 1533-position model. The record is from RNAcentral.